CCUACGGGUGGCAGCAGUGAGGAAUAUUGGUCAAUGGACGGAAGUCUGAACCAGCCAUGCCGCGUGCAGGAAGACUGCCCUAUGGGUUGUAAACCUCUUUUGUCAGGGAGCAACGCCGGCUACGUGUAGCCGGACUGAGAGUACCUGAAGAAAAAGCAUCGGCUAACUCCGUGCCAGCAGCCGCGGUAAUACGGAGGAUGCGAGCUUUAUCCGGAUUUAUUGGGUUUAAAGGGUGCGUAGGCGGAAUGCCAAGUCAGCGGUAAAAUCGCGGGGCUCAACCUCGCUCCGCCGUUGAAACUGGCGUUCUUGAGUGGGCUAGAAGUAUGCGGAAUGCGUGGUGUAGCGGUGAAAUGCAUAGAUAUCACGCAGAACUCCGAUUGCGAAGGCAGCAUACCGGCGCCCAACUGACGCUGAAGCACGAAAGCGUGGGUAUCGAACAGGAGUAGAUACCCGAGUAGUC
This 460-nucleotide ribosomal RNA is filed under the name uncultured bacterium. RNAcentral describes it as "partial 16S ribosomal RNA". It matches the Rfam family "Bacterial small subunit ribosomal RNA", at positions 338 to 795 of the family's 1533-position model. The record is from RNAcentral.